ACAUUAAAAAUCAAAUUAUUUAUAAUACAGUCCACCAAUCAUUUACAAAUAUUAAAAAUCAAAUCAAAUUAUUUACAAUACAACCACCAAUCAUUUAAUAUACAAUCAACCAACCACCAUAUGAAUACAAACAUUAAAAAUCAAAUUAAUUACAAAAUUUAUCAGAGGUUCCAAAUCCAAACUAUAAAACAUACAAAAGACUAAAACCUAAAACUCACCACCCGCAUCUUCAUUCUCAGUCUCACCCAUUCUAUUAUCAAUAUUUCGUUGAUAUAUUCAGCAAUAACCAAGUUACAUCUACACAAUCAAUCACAUUCAAGUAAUUAGUUCAAGUCACAAAAGUUCACAUUUCAAAUAUCUACACCAAAACAUUUUCAAGUCACUAAUUCACUUCACAAGUUACCAAACUAAACUUAAUUCAAAAUGAAAAGUUCACAUUUCAAGUACCUACACUUAAACAUUUUGAAGUCAUGAAUUCAUUUCUCAAGUGACCACACUUUACUAAAAUCAAAACGCAAGUUCACAUUUCAAGUACCUAAAUUCAAAAGAAAAUUCACUAAUCCAUAAUUCAAGUAACUACACUUAAACAUUUCAAGUCACUUCACAAGUUACCUAACUAAACUAAAUUCAAAAUGAAAAGUUCACAAUUCAAAUACCUAACACCUAAACAUUUUCAAGUCACUAAUUCACUUCGCAAGUUAUCAAACUAAACUUAAUUCAAAACAUAAGUCCACCUUUCAAAUAACUACACCUAAACAUUUUCGACUCACUAAUGCACUUCUCAAAUGACCACACUUAACUAAAUUCAAAACACAAGUUCACAUUUCAAGUACCUACACUUAAACAUUUUCAAGUCACUAACUCACUUCUCAAGUGACCACACUUAACUAUAUUCAAAACACAAGUCCAUCUUUCAAGUAACUACACUUAAACAUUUUCGACUCACAAAUGCACUUCUCAAGUGACCAUACUUAACUAAAUUCAAAACACAAGUUCACAUUUCAAGUACCUACACUUAAACAUUUUCAAGUCACUAACUCACUUCUCAAGUGACCACAUUUGACUAUAUUUAAAACACAAGUCCACCUUUCAAGUAACUACACUUAAAUAUUUUUGACUCACUAAUGCACUUCUCAAGUGACCACACUUAACUAUAUUCAAAACACAAGUCAACAUUUCAAGUACCUACACUUAAACAUUUCCGACUCACUAACUCACUUCUCUAGUGACCAUACUUAACUAUAUUCAAAAAACAAGUCCAUCUUUCAAGUAACUACACUUAAACAUUUUCGACUCACUAAUGCAUUUCUCAAGUGGCCACACUUAACUAAAUUCAAAACAUAAGUCCACCUUUCAAGUCACUACACUUAACCAUUUUCAAAUAAUUAAUUCACAUUGUAAGUCACUACACUUAACCAUUUUCAAAUAAUUAAUUCACAUUUCAAAUCAUUAUAUUUAACGAUUUUCAAGUAACUGCUUCACAUUUCAAAUAACUAUACUUAAUCAUUUUCAAGUCAUUACACUUAAUCAUUCAUUUCAAGUCACUAUACUUAACCACUUUCAAGUAACUAAUUCACAUUUCAAGUAAUACACUUAACUAUUUUCAAGCCACUAGUUCACAAUUUCAAGUAAUUACACUUAACUAUUUUCGUCAAGUGACUUGAGCACGUGUUUGGAGAAAAACAGAGCCAAUGAGGAAAUUAUGGACAAUGUUUAUUCCUAGUUCAUGGACACUUGCAAAUUUAGUUGUGGAUCCAGGGAAUUAUGGACAAUGUUUCUAUUCAAGUCGUUCACCUAUUGUUUCAAUUUCACUUCUGUUAUACUUUAUCAAGUACAUAACAACUAACAUGAUCACUCGCUUACUAACUCUAAACCAAUCAAUAACAGUCUGGAAAUAAUUCAAACUCACUAAUAUGGUUGGUCACAUUCCAAACAAAGAAAUUCACCUAACAAAAAACAUUCAUCCUAAGAAAUCAGUUUUACGUAACAGGACAUAGAAUAUUCCUAAUAAAAAAAAUCAUAGACCGAAGACUUUGUUAAGCUUGUCGUGUAUUGUAACAAACCGAAAUAUAAGUGAACAAAGCUAUUGCAACUCGCACUAGAGCUGGGAAGCAGUAGAACCCGAAUAUGGGCACGAAAUAUCAGGAAAAUAAUCAAGUCAUAUCAAGUAAUUUACAAGAAACAAAUAUGGAAAUACCAUCUAAUUAUCUACAGUAUUGGUGGCGGUUGGAGGAGCUGGUAGUCGGAGAGAUCAUUUGGUUGGUCGCCAUUGUUGUUGUUAUUGUGGCGGCUGACGACGGAGAGGAGGCAGCGGCUGCUGCUGCAUGUGACGAAGAGAAGAUCUGGCGUUUGGUUCGGGUUUGUCGGUGGACUGAUUGAUGGCGGCAUCUAUGGUGGAUGACGACGAGGGAAAGGUGACGGUAGCGACUGAUGGUCGUUUCAUCGGUCUUGGUCGGUUCACCGCUGUGGAUGGCGGUGGCGAUGGGUUCGUCGGGAGAUGGAGAAAGAAAGGGGUGCCGUUGGUGGUUCACCUGCGGCUAAUUUAGCCGG
This 2550-nucleotide long non-coding RNA is filed under the name Capsicum annuum. RNAcentral describes it as "long non-coding RNA (CANN_LNC015972)". Lineage: Eukaryota; Viridiplantae; Streptophyta; Magnoliopsida; Solanales; Solanaceae. The record is from RNAcentral.